This 317-nucleotide ribosomal RNA is filed under the name Burkholderia pyrrocinia. RNAcentral describes it as "bacterial SSU rRNA". It matches the Rfam family "Bacterial small subunit ribosomal RNA", at positions 851 to 1172 of the family's 1533-position model. Lineage: Bacteria; Pseudomonadati; Pseudomonadota; Betaproteobacteria; Burkholderiales; Burkholderiaceae. The record is from RNAcentral.
GCUAACGCGUGAAGUUGACCGCCUGGGGAGUACGGUCGCAAGAUUAAAACUCAAAGGAAUUGACGGGGACCCGCACAAGCGGUGGAUGAUGUGGAUUAAUUCGAUGCAACGCGAAAAACCUUACCUACCCUUGACAUGGUCGGAAUCCUGCUGAGAGGCGGGAGUGCUCGAAAGAGAACCGGCGCACAGGUGCUGCAUGGCUGUCGUCAGCUCGUGUCGUGAGAUGUUGGGUUAAGUCCCGCAACGAGCGCAACCCUUGUCCUUAGUUGCUACGCAAGAGCACUCUAAGGAGACUGCCGGUGACAAACCGGAGGAAG